Molecule: ribosomal RNA, 2903 nt
Filed under: Klebsiella aerogenes
Lineage: Bacteria; Pseudomonadati; Pseudomonadota; Gammaproteobacteria; Enterobacterales; Enterobacteriaceae
Description: bacterial LSU rRNA
Rfam family: Bacterial large subunit ribosomal RNA
Source: RNAcentral
UUAAGCGACUAAGCGUACACGGUGGAUGCCCUGGCAGUCAGAGGCGAUGAAGGACGUGCUAAUCUGCGAAAAGCGUCGGUAAGGUGAUAUGAACCGUUACAGCCGGCGAUGUCCGAAUGGGGAAACCCAGUGCAAUUCGUUGCACUAUCGUUAACUGAAUACAUAGGUUAACGAGGCGAACCGGGGGAACUGAAACAUCUAAGUACCCCGAGGAAAAGAAAUCAACCGAGAUUCCCCCAGUAGCGGCGAGCGAACGGGGAGCAGCCCAGAGUCUGAAUCAGCUUGUGUGUUAGUGGAACGGUCUGGAAAGUCCGACGGUACAGGGUGAUAGUCCCGUACACCAAAAUGCACAGGCUGUGAACUCGAAGAGUAGGGCGGGACACGUGGUAUCCUGUCUGAAUAUGGGGGGACCAUCCUCCAAGGCUAAAUACUCCUGACUGACCGAUAGUGAACCAGUACCGUGAGGGAAAGGCGAAAAGAACCCCGGCGAGGGGAGUGAAAAAGAACCUGAAACCGUGUACGUACAAGCAGUGGGAGCACCUUCGGGUGUGACUGCGUACCUUUUGUAUAAUGGGUCAGCGACUUAUAUUCUGUAGCAAGGUUAACCGUAUAGGGGAGCCGCAGGGAAACCGAGUCUUAACUGGGCGUUAAGUUGCAGGGUAUAGACCCGAAACCCGGUGAUCUAGCCAUGGGCAGGUUGAAGGUUGGGUAACACUAACUGGAGGACCGAACCGACUAAUGUUGAAAAAUUAGCGGAUGACUUGUGGCUGGGGGUGAAAGGCCAAUCAAACCGGGAGAUAGCUGGUUCUCCCCGAAAGCUAUUUAGGUAGCGCCUCGUGAACUCAUCUUCGGGGGUAGAGCACUGUUUCGGCUAGGGGGUCAUCCCGACUUACCAACCCGAUGCAAACUACGAAUACCGAAGAAUGUUAUCACGGGAGACACACGGCGGGUGCUAACGUCCGUCGUGAAGAGGGAAACAACCCAGACCGCCAGCUAAGGUCCCAAAGUCACAGUUAAGUGGGAAACGAUGUGGGAAGGCACAGACAGCCAGGAUGUUGGCUUAGAAGCAGCCAUCAUUUAAAGAAAGCGUAAUAGCUCACUGGUCGAGUCGGCCUGCGCGGAAGAUGUAACGGGGCUAAACUGUGCACCGAAGCUGCGGCAGCGACACUAUGUGUUGUUGGGUAGGGGAGCGUUCUGUAAGCCUGCGAAGGUGGCCUGUGAGGGUUGCUGGAGGUAUCAGAAGUGCGAAUGCUGACAUAAGUAACGAUAAUGCGGGUGAAAAGCCCGCACGCCGGAAGACCAAGGGUUCCUGUCCAACGUUAAUCGGGGCAGGGUGAGUCGACCCCUAAGGCGAGGCCGAAAGGCGUAGUCGAUGGGAAACAGGUUAAUAUUCCUGUACUUGGUGUUACUGCGAAGGGGGGACGGAGAAGGCUAUGUUAGCCGGGCGACGGUUGUCCCGGUUUAAGCAUGUAGGCGGAGGUUCCAGGUAAAUCCGGUACCUUUUUAACGCUGAGGUGUGAUGACGAGGCACUACGGUGCUGAAGUAACAAAUGCCCUGCUUCCAGGAAAAGCCUCUAAGCAUCAGGUAACAUUAAAUCGUACCCCAAACCGACACAGGUGGUCAGGUAGAGAAUACCAAGGCGCUUGAGAGAACUCGGGUGAAGGAACUAGGCAAAAUGGUGCCGUAACUUCGGGAGAAGGCACGCUGAUAUGUAGGUGAAGCCCCUGCGGGUGGAGCUGAAAUCAGUCGAAGAUACCAGCUGGCUGCAACUGUUUAUUAAAAACACAGCACUGUGCAAACACGAAAGUGGACGUAUACGGUGUGACGCCUGCCCGGUGCCGGAAGGUUAAUUGAUGGGGUUAUCCGUAAGGAGAAGCUCUUGAUCGAAGCCCCGGUAAACGGCGGCCGUAACUAUAACGGUCCUAAGGUAGCGAAAUUCCUUGUCGGGUAAGUUCCGACCUGCACGAAUGGCGUAAUGAUGGCCAGGCUGUCUCCACCCGAGACUCAGUGAAAUUGAACUCGCUGUGAAGAUGCAGUGUACCCGCGGCAAGACGGAAAGACCCCGUGAACCUUUACUAUAGCUUGACACUGAACAUUGAGCCUUGAUGUGUAGGAUAGGUGGGAGGCUUUGAAGCGUGGACGCCAGUCUGCGUGGAGCCAACCUUGAAAUACCACCCUUUAAUGUUUGAUGUUCUAACGUUGGCCCCUGACCGGGGUUGCGGACAGUGUCUGGUGGGUAGUUUGACUGGGGCGGUCUCCUCCCAAAGAGUAACGGAGGAGCACGAAGGUUAGCUAAUCCUGGUCGGACAUCAGGAGGUUAGUGCAAUGGCAUAAGCUAGCUUGACUGCGAGCGUGACGGCGCGAGCAGGUGCGAAAGCAGGUCAUAGUGAUCCGGUGGUUCUGAAUGGAAGGGCCAUCGCUCAACGGAUAAAAGGUACUCCGGGGAUAACAGGCUGAUACCGCCCAAGAGUUCAUAUCGACGGCGGUGUUUGGCACCUCGAUGUCGGCUCAUCACAUCCUGGGGCUGAAGUAGGUCCCAAGGGUAUGGCUGUUCGCCAUUUAAAGUGGUACGCGAGCUGGGUUUAGAACGUCGUGAGACAGUUCGGUCCCUAUCUGCCGUGGGCGCUGGAGAAUUGAGGGGGGCUGCUCCUAGUACGAGAGGACCGGAGUGGACGCAUCACUGGUGUUCGGGUUGUCAUGCCAAUGGCAUUGCCCGGUAGCUAAAUGCGGAAGAGAUAAGUGCUGAAAGCAUCUAAGCACGAAACUUGCCCCGAGAUGAGUUCUCCCUGAGACUUUAAGUCUCCUGAAGGAACGUUAAAGACGAUGACGUUGAUAGGUCGGGUGUGUAAGCGUAGCGAUACGUUGAGCUAACCGAUACUAAUGAACCGUGAGGCUUAACCUU